This 404-nucleotide ribosomal RNA is filed under the name Austrogoniodes hamiltoni. Its description in RNAcentral is "partial small subunit ribosomal RNA". Lineage: Eukaryota; Metazoa; Arthropoda; Insecta; Psocodea; Philopteridae. The record is from RNAcentral.
UGGCGGUUAUAUUUUCCAAUCAGAGGGGUGUGUAUGUAAACGACUUUACACGAAAAUCUUACCUAAAAUAUUAUUUAUUUUCGGCCCCAAUUUUAUUAUGGGGUUGUAAUAUUAAUUUUGUACACCUCCGUCGGAAGGAUAUUUCGAGAGAUUUGUCCCAAAUACUUUCUUUUAAUUAAUGGGUUAUGUUUGUUGAAUUAAGUAGACAGUAUAAUAAUUUUUUAGAAAAUAAAAAGUAAAGUGAUAAGUCAGGUCAAGGUGCAGACUAUGUUUAGGAUAAAUACGCACUUUUUUAAAAGUUGAAACAAAGAUGAGUUUGAAAUAAUUCUUUGUGAUGAAUUUGAUAGUAAGGGGAUUUUAUUAUAAAUCUCUGAAAAGGUAAAAAAUAAUGCACACAUCGCCCG